CAAUAGAAUGGGAGGCUUAAACAUAUGUACCUCUCGUUUUGAAGCAGAGGAAUAUCAAUUGGUAGGCGAGAUAUCGUUUCAGUCGCCCAUUCGAUUGGCGAUUCGAUUGUUGCUCGUCAACAU
Molecule: small nucleolar RNA, 123 nt
Organism: Macadamia integrifolia
Lineage: Eukaryota; Viridiplantae; Streptophyta; Magnoliopsida; Proteales; Proteaceae
Product: small nucleolar RNA snoR111
Exons: 1
Source: RefSeq, a predicted model, not a curated record